GAUGAACGCUGGCUACAGGCUUAACACAUGCAAGUCGAGGGGAAACGGCAUUGAGUGCUUGCACUGAAUGGACGUCGACCGGCGCACGGGUGAGUAACGCGUAUCCAACCUUCCCGUUACUGCGGGAUAACCUGCCGAAAGGCAGACUAAUACCGCAUGUUCUUCGAUGACGGCAUCAGAUUCGAAGCAAAGAUCCGUCGGUAACGGAGGGGGAUGCGUCUGAUUAGCUAGUUGGCGGGGCGACGGCCCACCAAGGCGACGAUCAGUAGGGGUUCUGAGAGGAAGGUCCCCCACAUUGGAACUGAGACACGGUCCAAACUCCUACGGGAGGCAGCAGUGAGGAAUAUUGGUCAAUGGGCGGAAGCCUGAACCAGCCAAGCAGCGUGCAGGAUGACGGCCCUACGGGUUGUAAACUGCUUUUAUGCGGGGAUAAAGUGAGGGACGCGUCCCUUUUUGCAGGUACCGCAUGAAUAAGGACCGGCUAAUUCCGUG
RNAcentral lists this ribosomal RNA (492 nucleotides) under uncultured bacterium. Its description in RNAcentral is "partial 16S ribosomal RNA". It matches the Rfam family "Bacterial small subunit ribosomal RNA", at positions 28 to 507 of the family's 1533-position model. The record is from RNAcentral.